CCUUCGAUAGCUCAGUUGGUAGAGCGGAGGACUGUAGUGGAAAUAGCAGGCAUCCUUAGGUCGCUGGUUCAAAUCCGGCUCGAAGGA
Molecule: transfer RNA, 87 nt
Filed under: Perca fluviatilis (European perch)
Lineage: Eukaryota; Metazoa; Chordata; Actinopteri; Perciformes; Percidae
Rfam family: tRNA
About the family: Transfer RNA (tRNA) molecules are approximately 80 nucleotides in length. Their secondary structure includes four short double-helical elements and three loops (D, anti-codon, and T loops).
Source: Rfam by way of RNAcentral